CUCGGAGAUGAUGCGAUGCACAUGUUGAUAUGUAAAUAGUGAAAUCAGUGAACUUGUGUAAGAAAAUUACAUUUACACCAGCCAUAGAGUUGUUUCAGUGCAGUACGAUAUUAUACAAACGGUUCAAUUUUAUUAGGGAAAUGUGUGUUUGUUCCGCUCCUUCACUAGGAUGGACAACCACAGAGGCCACACCUCCUUCACUGUCACCAACAGGUACAGAGGACACGCCUCCUUCACUAGGAAUUACAGAUACAGUGGACACGCCUCCUUCACUAGGACUUACAGGUACAGAGGACACGCCUCCUUCACUAGGACUUACAGGUACAGAGGACACGCCUCCUUCACUAGGACUUACAGGUACAGAGGACACGCCUCCUUCACUAGGACUUACAGGUGCAGUGGACACGCCUCCUUCACUGCAACCAACAGGUACAGAGGACACGCCUCCUUCACUAGGACUUACAGGUACACAGGACACGCCUCCUUCACUAGGACUUACAGGUGCAGUGGACACGCCUCCUUCACUAGGAC
Long non-coding RNA from Ictalurus punctatus (channel catfish), 531 nucleotides. NCBI's taxonomy places the organism in Eukaryota, Metazoa, Chordata, Actinopteri, Siluriformes, Ictaluridae. The record is from Ensembl.